UGCGGAAUUGUGUAACGGUUAGCACGGCAGACUCUGACUCUGUUUGUGAGGGUUCAAAUCCUUCUUCCGCAGCCA
Molecule: transfer RNA, 75 nt
Filed under: Clostridiales bacterium
Lineage: Bacteria; Bacillati; Bacillota; Clostridia; Eubacteriales
Description: tRNA-Gln
Rfam family: tRNA
About the family: Transfer RNA (tRNA) molecules are approximately 80 nucleotides in length. Their secondary structure includes four short double-helical elements and three loops (D, anti-codon, and T loops).
Source: RNAcentral